AAAAAAGGCGUUUCUUAUCCCAUUGAGUGUUCCACGGCGGCGCGGCGUGCCUCCAUCCCCUCCGGCCUCUCCCCCCGACCCCGGCGGCACAGGCGGCCUUCAAGUUCCGGCCGGUGUCGGAGACGAAACGGCCUAUAUAUAGAUGGAGGAGAGGGCGGAGGAGAUCGAUCUGAGCAAGCCGAGGUUGCGCACGAUGGGGAGAAAGCUACCCCCUUCUGCUCCGGCCACGACGCGGACUCCGGCGACGGGAAGGCGGCGCAAAGGCCCCUCCUUGGCCCCGCUCUCCGCCUGCAAGCGCCGGCGGACCCCUGAGGCUAGCGGCUGGGCUUCCCUCCCCACCGAUAUAGUCCACCUUGUCGCCAGCCGCCUGCUGACCGGCGACGUGGUGGACUACAUCGUCUUCCGGGCCGUCUGCUCCGGCUGGCGCAGCUGCACGGGCCAAGUGAAUGGAAGAGAGACCAAUGAUCAAGAGUAAAUCUGUGUAUAUCAAUGAUGACAAGUUACAUUUUUA
Triticum dicoccoides is the source of this 511-nucleotide long non-coding RNA. RefSeq lists it as uncharacterized. NCBI's taxonomy places the organism in Eukaryota, Viridiplantae, Streptophyta, Magnoliopsida, Poales, Poaceae. The transcript is spliced from 2 exons. The record is from RefSeq and is a predicted model, not a curated record.